GGAGGAAUCGUGGUAAGGAGUGAAAUACAAAUCGGACUAGGAUAUAGCUGGUUUUCUGCGAAAUUUGUUUUAGCAAAUUGUUUAUUUAUUAUUAUCUGUAGGUAUAGCACUGAAUAUCUAAUGUAUAUAUGUGGAGGGAGUGUUAAUAACAUUUACCUCGGAUAUUUAAUCUCAAAAUGACAGAUGAAAGAAAUUUUAAUUUUAUUUAAAUAAAUAAUCGGACUAUUCGCGAUAAGGUGGAUAGUCAAGAGGGAAACAGCCCAGAACAGUAAUUAAGGUUCUUAAAUUAAUAUUAAGUGAAUUAAAGGAAGUUAUGUUUCUUAGACAAUCAAGAAG
This 336-nucleotide ribosomal RNA is filed under the name Pneumocystis carinii. RNAcentral's name for it is "LSU rRNA". It matches the Rfam family "Bacterial large subunit ribosomal RNA", at positions 802 to 1100 of the family's 2925-position model. The record is from RNAcentral. Lineage: Eukaryota; Fungi; Ascomycota; Pneumocystomycetes; Pneumocystales; Pneumocystaceae.